GCUAAAGCUAGCCCAAACACAUUCAAACUCAACUAUCAUAUACAAAUAAACCAAAACAUUUAGUUACCCUUAAAAGUAUAGGAGAUAGAAAUNNNNNNNNNCGCUAUAGAGAUAGUACCGCAAGGGAAAGAUGAAAGAAAAUUUAAAAGCAUAAAAUAGCAAAGAUUACCCCUUGUACCUUUUGCAUAAUGAGUUAGCUAGACAUAAUCUAACAAAGAGAACUUAAGCUAGAUACCCCGAAACCAGACGAGCUACCUAUGAACAAUCUUUACAGGAUGAACUCGUCUAUGUUGCAAAAUAGUGAGAAGAUUUAUAGGUAGAGGUGAAAUGCCUAACGAGCCUGGUGAUAGCUGGUUACCCGGGAUAGAAUUUUAGUUCAACUUUAAACUUACCUAAAAACCCACAAAUUCCAAUGUAAGUUUAAAAUAUAAUCUAAAAAGGUACAGCUUUUUAGAACUAGGAUACAGCCUUUAUUAGAGAGUAAGCAUUAACAUAACCAUAGUUGGCCUAAAAGCAGCCAUCAAUUAAGAAAGCGUUCAAGCUCAACAAUCAAAACAACUUAAUACCAAAAACAUAUAUCCAACUCCUAAUANNNNNNNNNNNNNNNNNNNNNNNNNNNNNNNNNNNNNNNNNNNNNNNNNNNNNNNNAGAAAUAUUUCUCCUUGCAUAAGCUUAUAUCAGAGCGGAUAACCACUGAUAGUUAACAACAAGAUACAUAUAACCCAACAAUAAAACAAAUAUCAAGCCAAUUGUUAAUCCAACACAGGUAUGCAAUUAAGGAAAGAUUAAAAGAAGUAAAAGGAACUCGGCAAACAUAAACCCCGCCUGUUUACCAAAAACAUCACCUCUAGCAUUUCCAGUAUUAGAGGCACUGCCUGCCCAGUGACACUAGUUAAACGGCCGCGGUAUCCUGACCGUGCAAAGGUAGCAUAAUCACUUGUUCUCUAAAUAAGGACUAGUAUGAAUGGCCACACGAGGGUUUCACUGUCUCUUACUUCCAAUCCGUGAAAUUGACCUUCCCGUGAAGAGGCGGGAAUACAAAAAUAAGACGAGAAGACCCUAUGGAGCUUCAAUUAAUUAAUCCAAGGAGAUCAACACACACCGAUAGGAAUAACAAACCUCCACAAUGGAUUAACAAUUUAGGUUGGGGUGACCUCGGAGCAUAAAACAACCUCCGAGUGAUUUAAAUCAAGACUCACCAGUCAAAAGUAUUACAUCACUUAUUGAUCCAAAUAAACAUUUGAUCAACGGAACAAGUUACCCUAGGGAUAACAGCGCAAUCCUAUUUUAGAGUCCAUAUCGACAAUAGGGUUUACGACCUCGAUGUUGGAUCAGGACAUCCCGAUGGUGCAGCAGCUAUCAAAGGUUCGUUUGUUCAACGAUUAAAGUCCUACGUGAUCUGAGUUCAGACCGGAGUAAUCCAGGUCGGUUUCUAUCUAUUAAAUAAUUUCUCCCAGUACGAAAGGACAAGAGAAAUGAGGCCCACUUCACCAAAGCGCCUCCAACCUAAUAGAUGAUAUAAUCUUAAUCUAAACAGUUUCACCAUACACUACCCAAGAGUUCGGGUCC
Molecule: ribosomal RNA, 1569 nt
Filed under: Viverricula indica (small Indian civet)
Lineage: Eukaryota; Metazoa; Chordata; Mammalia; Carnivora; Viverridae
Description: 16S ribosomal RNA
Rfam family: Bacterial large subunit ribosomal RNA
Source: RNAcentral